This 465-nucleotide ribosomal RNA is filed under the name Vreelandella stevensii. Its description in RNAcentral is "partial 16S ribosomal RNA". It matches the Rfam family "Bacterial small subunit ribosomal RNA", at positions 338 to 795 of the family's 1533-position model. Lineage: Bacteria; Pseudomonadati; Pseudomonadota; Gammaproteobacteria; Oceanospirillales; Halomonadaceae. The record is from RNAcentral.
CCUACGGGGGGCAGCAGUGGGGAAUAUUGGACAAUGGGGGCAACCCUGAUCCAGCCAUGCCGCGUGUGUGAAGAAGGCCCUCGGGUUGUAAAGCACUUUCAGUGAGGAAGAACGCCUGGUGGUUAAUACCCAUCAGGAAAGACAUCACUCACAGAAGAAGCACCGGCUAACUCCGUGCCAGCAGCCGCGGUAAUACGGAGGGUGCGAGCGUUAAUCGGAAUUACUGGGCGUAAAGCGCGCGUAUGUGGCUUGAUAAGCCGGUUGUGAAAGCCCCGGGCUCAACCUGGGAACGGCAUCCGGAACUGUCAAGCUAGAGUGCAGGAGAGGAAGGUAGAAUUCCCGGUGUAGCGGUGAAAUGCGUAGAGAUCGGGAGGAAUACCAGUGGCGAAGGCGGCCUUCUGGACUGACACUGACACUGAGGUGCGAAAGCGUGGGUAGCAAACAGGAUUAGAUACCCCUGUAGUC